GCGAGAAUAUUCGACAAUGGACGAAAGUCUGAUCGAGCGACGCCGCGUGUACGAUGAAGUUUUUCGGAAUGUAAAGUACUUUUAUGAGGGAAGAACGUUGACGGUACCUCAUGAAUAAGUGGUUGCUAACUCUGUGCCAGCAGCAGCGGUAAUACAGAGACCACAAGCGUUAUCCGGAAUUAUUGGGCGUAAAGCGUGCGCAGGCGGCCGCGCAAGUCAGGUGUGAAAUCCCCGGGCUUAACCUGGGAAUUGCGCUUGAAACUAUGCGGCUUGAGUGUGGCAGAGGGGGGUGGAAUUCCACGUGUAGCAGUGAAAUGCGUAGAGAUGUGGAGGAACACCGAUGGCGAAGGCAGCCCCCUGGGCCAACACUGACGCUCAGGCACGAAAGCGUGGGGAGCAAACAGGAUUAGAUACCCAAGUAGUCCCUGAGCGGGCUGGCAAGGCGCAU
RNAcentral lists this ribosomal RNA (448 nucleotides) under uncultured bacterium. Its description in RNAcentral is "bacterial SSU rRNA". It matches the Rfam family "Bacterial small subunit ribosomal RNA", at positions 355 to 825 of the family's 1533-position model. The record is from RNAcentral.